This is a long non-coding RNA of Homo sapiens (human), 1259 nucleotides long. Ensembl annotates it as long intergenic non-protein coding RNA 1474. Lineage: Eukaryota; Metazoa; Chordata; Mammalia; Primates; Hominidae. The record is from Ensembl.
ACUCUCUCUCUCUCUCCGGCCACCAUGUGAAGAUAUGCGUGCUUCCCCUUCACCCUUCUGCCAUGAUUGUAAGUUUCCUGAGGCUUCCCCAGCCAUGCCUCCUGUACAGCCUGUGGAACUUCAGGACCUGGGAGAGAAAAAAGCUACCAGCAACAUUCAGACUGAGAGAGGCCAAAAUACUAAUUCAUAAUUAGCCUGGUACAUAUGAAGGAUCAAAAAGAACAGGACUGUAUGUCUGACCUCUGACAGGCCCUACCACCAUAGUAGAGACUCAGUAUGUAUACUUAAUGAAGGAAUAAUGAAUACAUCAGCAAGAGAAAUAAGAGUGACCAUAUGUUCCUUAAGAGAAGCAAAGAGCAGCUCCUGUUCCUGCUGGAAUGAGUCUCCAUUCCUUGCAACAGAAGUGUCCUAAGUUAUAGCCAGAGGACGGGGGCACAUUGACAAAACAUAAAGCGGAUAUGAUAAUAACAAGGUACCAUUCCAGCAAGAACAUCUGAAGAAAGAAGCAGUGUUGUUUAUCUUUCCUUCAUCUAUUCUGAAACUAAAAUCCUUAACCAAAUUUAUUUCCGAAGUUUAACCCUUUAAUAAACUGGCCUCUGACUCCACCUGGUGGAGAUACAUAAAUCUAUGAAAAUAAACCAAUCCAAAUGAAGAUUUUAAAGUCAUCAGCUCUCUUUCAUGUCUCAAAGAAAAAACACAUAUCCCGAAAUUCAAAUAGAUGACCUUCUCGGAUGUGUUAUAGGCACUCAGAAGCCCCAAAGAAAAAAUAGUUUGAGUUGAUCAUUUGACUGUUGCUCUCAGCCUUCAUUUCUGCCUUUCUAGGUUGUGUCAGGCAUUUUGACUGUCCAGGGGCCCUGCAUAUUCUAUUUUCCUAGUUACUUGCUAAGGUUUGAAUAUUUGUCCCCCUCCAAAACUCAUGUUGAAAUUUAAUCCCAAAUGUGGCAGUAUUGAGAGGUGGGGCUUUUCAGAGGUGAUUGGGUCAUGAGAGCUCUGUUCUCAUGAGUGGAUUAAUCCAUUCAUGGAUUAAUGGAAUAAUGGACUAAUGGAUUAAUGAGUUAUCAUAGGAGUGGGACUGGUGCCUUUAUAAUAAGAGGAAGAGAGACCUGAGCUAGCACACUCACCCUCUUCACCAUGUGAGGUCCUGUGCCACCAUGGGACUCUGCAGAGUCUCAUCAGCAAGAAGCCACUUACCAGAUGUGGCCCCUUGACCUUGGGCUUCUCAGCUUCCAUAACUGUAAGAAAUAAAUUUCUUUGUAACU